UACGGGGGGAGCAAGCGUUGUUCGGAUUUACUGGGCGUAAAGGGCGCGUAGGCGGUCAGCACAAGUCGGUUGUGAAAUCUCCGAGCUUAACUCGGAAAGGUCAACCGAAACUGUGCGACUAGAGUGCAGAAGGGGCAACUGGAAUUCUUGGUGUAGCGGUGAAAUGCGUAGAUAUCAAGAGGAACACCUGCGGCGAAGGCGGGUUGCUGGGCUGACACUGACGCUGAAGCGCGAAAGCCAGGGGAGCGAACGGG
This 254-nucleotide ribosomal RNA is filed under the name uncultured bacterium. Its description in RNAcentral is "partial 16S ribosomal RNA". It matches the Rfam family "Bacterial small subunit ribosomal RNA", at positions 524 to 776 of the family's 1533-position model. The record is from RNAcentral.